CCCUCCUCCGUCUUCGCCAAAGCAUCAUGCUAAGUGCUCCGAGAUAUACACAAUCCCUCAUGUACCGAAUAUUUCUCUGACCUUGAUCCUCGAUUUGUUCCUCCAAUCCAUGCCUGAUUUUAGCUGCUUCCUUGGAUUCUAGGGUGUCAUCCAAUUUGAUCCUCUCUCUUGAUUCAAUAUCAAGUUGGACCCGUUUCUUGGAUUUCCUCGCGUCAUUGGUCGGUUGACGUCGACCUCUCCGACGAAGAGAGCGAGCGCCGCCUUCAUAACAGGUUAUUGUGUAGGAUCAGGCAAAGGGGGUUCCUUGAAUUGGAUUUGGUAGUGGGGACAUGGGUAGGGGAGCACAUUCGUGCCUUGGAUCAGCUCCAUAUCAGAGCCCUCAUGGAUGUUCUUGACCUGGAAAGCCCAGAUCUGUGGAAGUGGCUUACUGCUAAGAGCAAGCACCAGAAGCAGUCAAGAACAAUCCUGUAUAGCAUUUCAAACAUAAAAAAAUCUGUGUUUCCUUUUAGUAUUAUGUUUAUUUUCAUGUUUUAUAUUUUUCUAACUGUGUUCUGUGGGUAUUCUGUGCUAUCCACUCCAAGAUUAUGUCAAAUCUACACGGCCAUGCUGCACCAGAGACCCGAGCAAAUCCUAGUCCCGCAGAUUAAUCUCUUGAGCUCGAUUAAUGUACCAUUUGUUCUUUCAAUAUAUUCUUUUCUACAGCUUCUCUGUGAUCGAUAAUUUAUCAAAAUGCUCGCUAAAAUUUCUUCAUCGUCAGAUUGUUUCUUUCUUUUCUUUUAUAUUUUCAUCGGAAGUGUGAUUUUUAU
Long non-coding RNA from Musa acuminata AAA Group (dessert banana), 806 nucleotides. RefSeq lists it as uncharacterized. The record is from RefSeq and is a predicted model, not a curated record. NCBI's taxonomy places the organism in Eukaryota, Viridiplantae, Streptophyta, Magnoliopsida, Zingiberales, Musaceae. The transcript has 3 exons.